UACAGAGGGUGCAAGCGUUAAUCGGAAUUACUGGGCGUAAAGCGUGCGUAGGCGGUUACAUAAGUCGGGUGUGAAAGCCCCGGGCUCAACCUGGGAAUUGCAUUCGAGACUGCGUAGCUAGGGUGCGGAAGAGGGAAGCGGAAUUUCCGGUGUAGCGGUGAAAUGCGUAGAUAUCGGAAGGAACACCAGUGGCGAAAGCGGCUUCCUGGUCCAGCACUGACGUUCAGGCACGAAAGCGUGGGGAGCAAACAGG
RNAcentral lists this ribosomal RNA (253 nucleotides) under uncultured bacterium. Its description in RNAcentral is "partial 16S ribosomal RNA". It matches the Rfam family "Bacterial small subunit ribosomal RNA", at positions 524 to 776 of the family's 1533-position model. The record is from RNAcentral.